GAAAUGCGAUAAGUAAUGUGAAUUGCCGAAUUCAGUGAAUCAUCGAAUCUUUGAACGCUCCUUGCGCUCCUUGGUAUUCCUUGGAGCAUGCCUGUUUGAGUAUCAUGAAAUCUUCAAAGUAAAUCUUUUGUUAACUCAAUUGGUUUCUACUUUGGUAUUGGAGGUCUUUGCAGCUUCACACCUGCUCCUCUUUGUUCAUUAGCUGGAUCUCAGUGUUAUGCUUGGUUCCACUCGGCGUGAUAAGUUAUCUAUCGCUGAGGACACUGUAAAAGGUGGCCAAGGUAAAUGCAGAUGAACCGCUUCUAAUAGUCCAUUGACUUGGACAAUACUUUUAUGAUCUGAUCUCAAAUCAGGUAGGACUACCCGCUGAACUUAAGC
This 378-nucleotide unclassified non-coding RNA is filed under the name plant metagenome. RNAcentral describes it as "partial contains 5.8S ribosomal RNA, internal transcribed spacer 2, and large subunit ribosomal RNA". The stretch from base 1 to 105 matches the Rfam family "5.8S ribosomal RNA", at positions 50 to 154 of the family's 154-position model. The record is from RNAcentral.